AAAAUAUCACAGAUAUCGCGACCAGGGUUUUCAUAAUGAAUUCAUCACCGAUCGCGAUUACAGUUUACACGGCCCGAGUUUAAUAAACAAGGAACUGCUAGAUCCACGUGUGUUUCAAUCAUUAUGCAGUACAUUCUGAAGUGAGGGAAAGCUUAAAGAUAUUGCUUUGUGGUCCGAAUUGAGGGCAAUGAUUCGCAUAAAGCAAAAAAGGAAUGAAGAGAAUCAGACAUUUUAUUUUUCGAAUUCUCACUUACUUGGAUUUGACCAGUUUAAGCAAGCAACAUUAUGCAUAUACCAUACUUCAUUGUAUUCAGUAUGCAUUUAUGCAUUGUUUUUUAUUUACAUUUUUUUGUUGUGUUUCC
Molecule: long non-coding RNA, 362 nt
Organism: Pecten maximus
Lineage: Eukaryota; Metazoa; Mollusca; Bivalvia; Pectinida; Pectinidae
Exons: 3
Source: RefSeq, a predicted model, not a curated record